UCGGACUAGAAGCGACCGGCGAACGGGUGCGUAACGCGUAUGCAAUCUACCUUGUACAGGGGGAUAGCUUUCGGAAACGAGAAUUAAUACCCCAUAGUAGUAGGAUAACGCAUGUUAUCCUACUUAAAGCUUCGGCGGUACAAGCAGAGCAUGCGUCCCAUUAGCUAGUUGGGGAGGUAACGGCUCCCCAAGGCGAUGAUGGGUAGGGGUUCUGAGAGGAAGAUCCCCCACACUGGCACUGAGACACGGGCCAGACUCCUACGGGAGGCAGCAGUAGGGAAUAUUGGUCAAUGGGCGCAAGCCUGAACCAGCCAUGCCGCGUGCAGGAAGAAGGCCAUUAAGGUUGUAAACUGCUUUUAUAGGAGAACAAAAGAUUUCAUUGGAGAUCCCUGAGUGUAUCCUAAGAAUAAGCACCGGCUAACUCCGUGCCAGCAGCCGCGGUAAUACGGAGGGUGCCAGCGUUGUCCGGAUUUAUUGGGUUUAAAGGGUGUGUAGGCUGCUAUUUAAGUCAGUGGUGAAAUGCUAGAGCUUAACUUUAGAACUGCCAUUGAAACUAACUAGCUUGAGUAAAGGAGAGGUAAGGAGAAUUUAUGGUGGAGUAGUGAAAUGCAUAGAUACCAUAAGGAAUACCCAUAGCGAAGGCACCUUACUGGCCUUUUACUGACGCUGAGACACGAAAGCGUGGGUAGCGAACAGGAUUAGAUACCCUGGUAGUCCACGCAGUAAACGAUGAUCACUAGAUGUACAGAUUUAAUUUGUGUAUCCCAGCGAAAGCGUUAAGUGAUCCACCUGAGAAGUACGCUCGCAAGAGUAAAACUCAAAG
RNAcentral lists this ribosomal RNA (823 nucleotides) under uncultured bacterium. RNAcentral describes it as "bacterial SSU rRNA". It matches the Rfam family "Bacterial small subunit ribosomal RNA", at positions 80 to 906 of the family's 1533-position model. The record is from RNAcentral.